This 31-nucleotide non-coding RNA is filed under the name Mus musculus (house mouse). The record is from RNAcentral. Lineage: Eukaryota; Metazoa; Chordata; Mammalia; Rodentia; Muridae.
UGCCAACUUGAAGAAGAGUGGCCUUGAAGGA